GAUGAAGAACGCAGCGAAAUGCGAUAAGUAGUGUGAAUUGCAGAAUUCAGUGAAUCAUCGAAUCUUUGAACGCACAUUGCGGCCAUAGGUAUUCCUUUGGCCAUGCCUGUUCGAGCGUCAUUUACACCCUCAAGCCUAGCUUGGUGUUGGGCGCCUGUCCCGCCGUUUUCGCGCGCGGACUCGCCUCAAAGUCAUUGGCGGCGGUCGUGCCGGCCCCCUCGCGCAGCACAUUUGCGCUUCUCGGAGGCCCGGCGGAUCCGCGCUCCAGCAAGACCUUUCACGACUUGACCUCGGAUCAGGUAGGGAUACCCGCUGAACUUAAGCAUAUCAAAAGCGGAGGA
This 341-nucleotide unclassified non-coding RNA is filed under the name soil metagenome. Its description in RNAcentral is "partial contains 5.8S ribosomal RNA, internal transcribed spacer 2, and large subunit ribosomal RNA". The stretch from base 1 to 120 matches the Rfam family "5.8S ribosomal RNA", at positions 35 to 154 of the family's 154-position model. The record is from RNAcentral.